GUGGAAGGCUCGCUGAAGGAGCCCCAGGAGACGUCACACAGCGGCAGUGAUAAAGAGCACAGGGAUGUGGAGAGAUCUCAAGAACAAGAAUCUGAAUCACAAAGACACCAUGUGGAUGACGGCAGGAGGCACAGAGCUCACCACGAGCCUGACCGGCUUUCCAGAAGGAGUGAGGAUGAGCAGAGAUGGGGGAAAGGACCUGGCCAAGACAGAGGGAAGAAGGGGAGCCAGGACAGCGGGGCUCCGGGGGAGGCCAUGGAGAGACUGGGAAGAGCGCAGAGGUGUGACGACAGUCCAGCACCCAGAAAAGAGCGACUGGCAAACAAGGACCGGCCAGCCUUGCAGCUGUAUGAUCCAGGAGCUCACUUCCGAGCGCGAGAGUGUGGCGGAAACAGGAGGAUCUGCAAGGCAGAAGGUUCGGGGACUGGUCCUGAGAAGAGGGAAGAGGCAGAGUGA
RNAcentral lists this long non-coding RNA (456 nucleotides) under Homo sapiens (human). RNAcentral describes it as "non-protein coding lnc-ZNF624-4:2". Lineage: Eukaryota; Metazoa; Chordata; Mammalia; Primates; Hominidae. The record is from RNAcentral.